UACGUAGGCAGCAAGCGUUGUUCGGAGUUACUGGGCGUAAAGAGUGCGUAGGCGGUGCUCUAAGUUUGGUGUGAAAUCUCCCGGCUUAACUGGGAGGGUGCGCCGAAAACUGGAGUGCUUGAGUAUGGGAGAGGCAAGCGGAAUUCCUGGUGUAGCGGUGAAAUGCGUAGAUAUCGGGAGGAACACCUGUGGCGAAAGCGGCGCACUGGACCAUAACUGACGCUGAUGCGCGAAAGCUAGGGGAGCAAACAGG
Molecule: ribosomal RNA, 253 nt
Filed under: uncultured bacterium
Lineage: Bacteria
Description: partial 16S ribosomal RNA
Rfam family: Bacterial small subunit ribosomal RNA
Source: RNAcentral